This is a non-coding RNA of Xyrichtys novacula (pearly razorfish), 1114 nucleotides long. NCBI's taxonomy places the organism in Eukaryota, Metazoa, Chordata, Actinopteri, Labriformes, Labridae. The record is from the annotation of a GenBank genome assembly.
GCUGCCGCCAAACACUCAGGGAGUUUAUAACAGAGAGCGAGAACGCUGCAGAGCCGAGGGGAGGAGGAGAGUUAAAGAUGCAGUCCUCAGAAUAAAUGAUCAGCACACUUACCAGAAAUGGAUUAGGAGUCUAUAGGAGUUUAUUCCAGUUUAGUCCAGUUUAUUCCAGGUUAGUCCAGUUUAUUCCAGGUUAGUCCAGUUUAUUCCAGUUUGUUCCAGGUUAUUCCAGUUUAGUCCAGUUUAUUCCAGUUUAUUCCAGGUUAGUCCAGGUUAUUCCAGUUUAUUCCAGUUUAGUCCAGUUUAUUCCAGUUUAGUCCAGUUUAUUCCAGGUUAGUCCAGGUUAUUCCAGUUUAGUCCAGUUUAUUCCAGGUUAGUCCAGGUUAUUCCAGUUUAUUCCAGGUUAUUCCAGUUUAUUCCAGUUUAGUCCACUUUAUUCCAGGUUAGUCCAGUUUAUUUCAAUUCCAGGUUUUUCCAGUUUAUUCCAGUUUGUUCCAGGUUAGUCCAGUUUAUUCCAGGUUAUUCCAGUUUAUUCCAGGUUAUUCCAGUUUAUUCCAGUUUAUUCCAGGUAAAUCUGGGUUGCAGAAUGCAUCAUAGUCCUCAAAUGUCCCUGAAGGCCACCAUAGCUGCACUGACAGGAGGGAGAGUAAAAGAGCCAAAGAGCAGGUCCAGGUUCAGGCUCAGGUUCAGGUUCAGUCCCACAGAACCACAGAAUCAAACCAGAACACACCUGAGACCGGACCAGAGGAGGACAGCAAACACAGAAGGUGAGUGUGUGAGCAUGUCAACACAAACAGGAAGAGAGUCCAGGUCCCGGGUUCGAGGGCAGGUUCAUGGUUAUAGAGGAGUAAACUGAGUCUUUGUGAGCAGAAGUGAAAACAGGCUUUGUCCUGAGUUCAGAGUGAAAAGGAGCGGGAACUUUACAGAAACUUUACAGAAACUUUACAGGAAGUUUUCAUGGGAAUUAUUGUGAUUUAACUGUAAACUGGAGGUAAUUUAAACAAACUGAAUCAUCUCCAAACAGAAAUGUUUUUGUUUGGUCAUUAGCAGACAUCCAUGAAAAAUAAUACAAUUAAAAAAACGACAUUUCAACAGAAACACUAAUGAACAAAAUCAU